RNAcentral lists this ribosomal RNA (253 nucleotides) under uncultured bacterium. RNAcentral's name for it is "partial 16S ribosomal RNA". It matches the Rfam family "Bacterial small subunit ribosomal RNA", at positions 524 to 776 of the family's 1533-position model. The record is from RNAcentral.
UACAGAGGUCCCAAGCGUUGUUCGGAUUCACUGGGCGUAAGGGGUGCGUAGGCGGUCGGGUAAGUCUGAUGUGAAAUCUCACAGCUUAACUGUGAAACUGCAUUGGAUACUAUCCGGCUCGAGGAAUGGAGGGGAGACUGGAAUACUUGGUGUAGCAGUGAAAUGCGUAGAUAUCAAGUGGAACACCAGUGGCGAAGGCGAGCCUCUGGACAUUUCCUGACGCUGAGGCACGAAAGCCAGGGGAGCAAACGGG